GCUAGUGUAGCUUAAUGCAAAGCAUAACACUGAAGAUGUUAAAAUGGGCCCUGAAAAGCUCCGCAUGCA
This 69-nucleotide transfer RNA is filed under the name Notropis imeldae. RNAcentral describes it as "tRNA-Phe". It matches the Rfam family "tRNA". Rfam says of the family: Transfer RNA (tRNA) molecules are approximately 80 nucleotides in length. Their secondary structure includes four short double-helical elements and three loops (D, anti-codon, and T loops). Lineage: Eukaryota; Metazoa; Chordata; Actinopteri; Cypriniformes; Leuciscidae. The record is from RNAcentral.